RNAcentral lists this long non-coding RNA (653 nucleotides) under Athene cunicularia (burrowing owl). Its description in RNAcentral is "lncRNA (ENSACUG00000006742.1)". The record is from RNAcentral. Lineage: Eukaryota; Metazoa; Chordata; Aves; Strigiformes; Strigidae.
UAUACCUCUAACAACAAAACAUAGACACGAGACUUUUCUUACAGUUUAGAAUUUCUGUUUUUGCGUAGUUUAAAAAUGGGACGUCGCUCCUCGGACACAGAAGAAGAGAACAGAAGCAGAAGGAAGAAGAAACACCGCAGGCGUUCAUCUUCAAGUAGCUCCUCAGACAGCAGAACGUACAGCCGUAAAAAAUCUGGGAGGAAGUCGAGGUCAAGGUCGCGGUCUCGAGAUCUCCAGUCUCGUUCACAUUCUUAUGAGAAAAGACGCAGACACAGAUCGAGCAGUAGCUCUUCGUACGGUUCUAGAAGAAAACGCAGUCGUAGCCGAUCAAGGGGCAGAGGCAAAUCCUACAGGUCUCAAAGAUCGAGAUCAAAAAGUAGAACAAGAAGAUCACGAUCAAGACCUCGUCAACGUUCUUAUAGUCGAAGUAGUGAAAGAUCCAGUCAUAGGAGAACUCAUAGCGGGUCUCGUGAAAGAGAGCGGCGUAAAGGCAGAGAGAAAGAAAAAAUAAAAGAGAAGGGCAAAGGAAAAGAAAAGGAGAUAUAUGGCACGAAGCAUGGUAUGAAGAAGAAAGUCUUCAUGGACACAAAAAAUGACUGUCAGGUGUACCUUUGGGUGUGACGUACCACGGAAUCUGUUGUGGAUGACUCUCC